This 25-nucleotide non-coding RNA is filed under the name Cricetulus griseus (Chinese hamster). Lineage: Eukaryota; Metazoa; Chordata; Mammalia; Rodentia; Cricetidae. The record is from RNAcentral.
AAUAUGGAAGACGCCUGCAAGAAUU